This is a long non-coding RNA of Sebastes umbrosus (honeycomb rockfish), 1664 nucleotides long. RefSeq lists it as uncharacterized. NCBI's taxonomy places the organism in Eukaryota, Metazoa, Chordata, Actinopteri, Perciformes, Sebastidae. The record is from RefSeq and is a predicted model, not a curated record. The transcript has 3 exons.
ACGUGAAUAAACUCUGAUAUUAUAAAGUCAUAAAUUUGCGAGAAAAAAAAAAUCAGAAAAAUUGUGGGGUUUUUUUGUCAAAGAACCACAACCAAGCUUCAGUUUACAAAGUUGGAUCAACCUCAUCACACCACAGACGACGCCGCUUGCCGUGUAUUAAGCCUGCAGUGGAUGACCUCAUCAAAUUAUAUUUUGUAGUCGGAUUUAUCAAUAAGGAAAUACUUGUGAUUUUAGCCAAGAAUCACCAGACUACCAGCAGCAUCCGGACUUAAACUAAAUACUGAUUUGAGGGUUUUUUUCUUGGAAAUGUGUGAUUUUUCUCAGAAUAUUACCUCCCUCCCCGGGCUCCGCAAUUUUCCUUUUUUUAACCUAUGAUGGCCCUAAUAUGCCGCCGUACUAAAUAGUGGGACUUAAAGUAAAACAUUUAAAAAUAAAAAAAGUGUUUUUUAUGUAAAAUAAAAUGUAUAUAGUAUGUCAUUGCCACUUUGCUAUUGUAUAUAAUAUUUUAUUGUUGUUCUGUGUUUAUAUUUUCUAAGCCAGUUGUAGUACUCUGGUAUAUUUAUAGUGUAUUCUAAUAUAUUUUUUAUAUUGUGUGUACUAUAGAUAUUUAUCUCCAGUGUUGAUAUGUAUAUUUACUGUUCCUGUGCAUUACCUGGAUAACCCGCUGCUGUAACACAACAAUUUCCCAUUUUGGGAUCAAUAAAAUCCAUCCAUCCAUCCAUCCAUCCAUCCAUCCAUCCAUCCAUCCAUCCAUCCAUCCAAAUCGCUAUCUGAAAAGUAGCCACACCUGUUAAAUAAAUGUAGUGCAGUAAAAAGUACAAUAUUUACCUCUGAGAUGUAGUGGAGGAGAGGUAGAAAGUAGCAAACUAUGAAAAUAAAAAGUAAAGUACAAGUAUCUCAAACAUUGUACCUUAGUACAGUAGUUGAGUAAAUCUCCUCCUUUCCACCACUGAGUCGUGUUUUUGUCCACCUGAUGAACUAUAUUAACUCCUGAGGGAGAUAUUUCUCUCUGUGGUAUCACAACCGACAUAAAGGUUAGGCUCUAAUUAGGUCAAACACUUGGAUGUUAUCUAGCUGGUUAGCUGGUUGCAGCAGUAAUGGGAACACAGCACACACACACACACACACACACACACUGAGUAACGGAGCGGGUGAUGAAGGACUGAUGGCACACUGAUGACCUACUUUAGUUCAACAUCAGCAUCCUGUUGUUGUGGGACGACCGGGAGUGAUGAUGAAAGAUGCACAGACAGCCUAUUAAGCUCUAUAAUUAUUAGUACCACCAGAGGAUUGGGAACCACUGUCUCUCAUGACCUGUCUUCCUUGUUAUAAUGUAUAAAUGUAUUCUAAUGUUUUUAAAUAUAUAUUUUAUGUUUUAUAGUUACACAUUUCAUAUAUGGCACAUUUUAUAUUUUAUUAUCCCCAUAUUUCAUGUUUUGUAUCUCACACAUCCCAAUUUUGUCUCUGAUUUUUUUUUUUACACGUAAACGUCCACUCAGCCGUCAGCAAAAAGCAAUGACGUAGGUUACCACAGUAAACUAAUCAAUAAGGUUAUGAAUAAUGUGAACACUAGCACUAGCUGAGUCAACGUUAGCUGUGAUAAGUUUGGAAAUAACUGAAAGGGUUAGUUUGGAUUGUUUUGAAGUGGGGUUGUAUGUAUACUC